Molecule: ribosomal RNA, 270 nt
Filed under: uncultured bacterium
Lineage: Bacteria
Description: partial 16S ribosomal RNA
Rfam family: Bacterial small subunit ribosomal RNA
Source: RNAcentral
GAUGAACGCUAGCGGCAGGCUUAAUACAUGCAAGUCGAGGGGCAGCAUGGGUGUAGCAAUACAUCUGAUGGCGACCGGCAAACGGGUGCGGAACACGUACACAACCUUCCUUUGACUGGGAGAUAACCCGGAGAAAUCCGGAUUAAUACCCCAUAGCAUGUUGGAUCGGCAUCGAUCUAACAUUAAAGCUCAGGCGGUUAAAGAUGGGUGUGCGUAUGAUUAGCUAGUUGGCGGGGUAACGGCCCACCAAGGCGACGAUCAUUAACUGGU